UGGGCAAACCUGUUGAAAGACAGGGACGCAAAGCCAAAGGGCCUGUACCGAAGUGGUGUGGCAGCCGGUUGC
Molecule: non-coding RNA, 72 nt
Filed under: uncultured Butyrivibrio sp.
Lineage: Bacteria; Bacillati; Bacillota; Clostridia; Lachnospirales; Lachnospiraceae
Description: Cyclic di-GMP-I riboswitch
Rfam family: c-di-GMP-I riboswitch aptamer
About the family: GEMM was predicted in a large-scale screen for bacterial structured RNA regulatory elements.
Source: RNAcentral